This is a long non-coding RNA of Coregonus clupeaformis (lake whitefish), 463 nucleotides long. RefSeq lists it as uncharacterized. The record is from RefSeq and is a predicted model, not a curated record. The transcript is spliced from 3 exons. NCBI's taxonomy places the organism in Eukaryota, Metazoa, Chordata, Actinopteri, Salmoniformes, Salmonidae.
AAAAAGAGGACAGAGAACAGGUCUACACAAAACUGGUUUUUGAGGCAGAAGUGUCCCACCAGAUGCAAGCAAUGGGAAAUCAGGAGGAAGACGAGGGAAGCUCAAGCACAAAGCUGUCAGGAUUCAAUGAAGAGACCACAGCUCCAAAUGAGUCACCUCCUUGUAAGAAGAAAGCCUUAGAUGCGCUGUUUGGCGAUUCCUUCACCCAAAGAGAAAGAAAAUCCACAAGCGAGACAGCCAGAGCAGAGGUGUUAAGGUACCGAGCAAAAGAUGCGUUGCCUUUGACUGAAAAUGCUAUGAAGUGGUGGAGAUCUCAGGAGAAAGAGCUACCUGUACUUUCCACCCUUGCUAAACGGUACCUGUGCAUUCCAGGCACCAGUGUGCCAGCAGAACGAGUUUUUAGUACUGCUGGCGACAUAGUGAACGCACAGAGAAGUGUUCUGCGGCCAGAUCAUGUUGAUCA